GACGAACGCUGGCGGCGUGCUUAACACAUGCAAGUCGAACGGUGAAGCGCCUUCCUUUUUGGUGGGUGUGGAGGAGUGGCGAACGGGUGAGUAACACGUGAGUAACCUGCCCCCUUCUUCUGGAUAACCGCAUGAAAGUGUGGCUAAUACGGGAUAUUCUGGGUCUGUCGCAUGAUGGGUCUGGGAAAGAUAUUGGGUCGGUGGGGGAUGGGCUCGCGGCCUAUCAGCUUGUUGGUGGGGUGAUGGCCUACCAAGGCGGUGAGGGGUAGCCGGCCUGGGAGGGUGGACGGCCACAGUGGGACUCAGACACGGCCGAGACUGCUACGGGAGGCAGACGUGGGGAAUAGUGCACAGUGGGGGAAAGUCUGAUGCAGCGACGCGGCGGGAGCGAUGGAGGCCUUCGGGUGGUGAACCUCUUUGGGUAGUGAAGCAGGCCUGCCUCGUUUGUGGGUGGGUUGACGGUAGCUGGAUAAGAAGCGCCGGCUAACUACGUG
This 494-nucleotide ribosomal RNA is filed under the name uncultured bacterium. RNAcentral describes it as "partial 16S ribosomal RNA". It matches the Rfam family "Bacterial small subunit ribosomal RNA", at positions 28 to 507 of the family's 1533-position model. The record is from RNAcentral.